Molecule: long non-coding RNA, 422 nt
Organism: Eucalyptus grandis
Lineage: Eukaryota; Viridiplantae; Streptophyta; Magnoliopsida; Myrtales; Myrtaceae
Exons: 3
Source: RefSeq, a predicted model, not a curated record
CCCCCUCCCUCUCUUUCUCUCGUAAAGCUUGAGAGUAUUUGCAUUUGCAGGGGUUAUUGGAGUCUUCAUUCUUCUUCCAGUGAACUGCACUGGUGAUCAGCUUGAGGAUAUUGACUUUGUUGAUUUUUCAAACAACUCACUGGAUGUAUUUACAAUAUCAAAUGUAAAUAAUGGAUCAAACAGCGUCUUCGUCGACUUAGCCCUUUCUUUAUUCCAAGGAUUUUGAUCAACAUGGCAUCGGGUCAUGUGAGCAUGAAAUAUGGUUUCCAGGUGAGUACACAACCAUGGCCAGAUGAUUUUGUAUUAUAAAACUAUCCAGAGACAACAGGAUAACUUUCUCUAUUAUGAUCUGUCUCUGUUAUGUGUCCUUUCCUUCUUCAGAGGGAAUUUAUCUAUAAUUAUGCAUCUUAUGUAAAAAUGGU